Molecule: ribosomal RNA, 496 nt
Filed under: uncultured bacterium
Lineage: Bacteria
Description: partial 16S ribosomal RNA
Rfam family: Bacterial small subunit ribosomal RNA
Source: RNAcentral
GAUGAACGCUGGCGGCGUGCCUAAUACAUGCAAGUCGAGCGAACAGACGAGGAGCUUGCUCCUCUGACGUUAGCGGCGGACGGGUGAGUAACACGUGGAUAACCUACCUAUAAGACUGGGAUAACUUCGGGAAACCGGAGCUAAUACCGGAUAAUAUAUUGAACCGCAUGGUUCAAUAGUGAAAGACGGUUUUGCUGUCACUUAUAGAUGGAUCCGCGCCGCAUUAGCUAGUUGGUAAGGUAACGGCUUACCAAGGCAACGAUGCGUAGCCGACCUGAGAGGGUGAUCCGCCCCCCUGGAACUGGGACACGGUCCAGCCUCCUACGGGGGGCCGCCGUAGGGAAUCUUCCGCAAUGGGCGAAAGCCUGACGGAGCCACGCCGCGUGAGUGAUGAAGGUCUUCGGAUCGUAAAACUCUUUUAUUAGGGAAAAACAAAUGUGUAAGUAACUAUGCACGUCUUGACGGUACCUAAUCAAAAAGCCCCGGCUAACUACGU